GACAGAGGAUGCAAGCGUUAUCCGGAAUGAUUGGGCGUAAAGCGUCUGUAGGUGGCUUUUUAAGUCCGCCGUCAAAUCCCAGGGCUCAACCCUGGACAGGCGGUGGAAACUACCAAGCUGGAGUACGGUAGGGGCAGAGGGAAUUUCCGGUGUAGCGGUGAAAUGCGUAGAGAUCGGGAGGAACACCAGAGGCGAAGGCGGCGACCUGGACAGUUACUGACACUCAACUACGAAAGCGUGGGGAGCAAACAGG
RNAcentral lists this ribosomal RNA (253 nucleotides) under uncultured bacterium. Its description in RNAcentral is "partial 16S ribosomal RNA". It matches the Rfam family "Bacterial small subunit ribosomal RNA", at positions 524 to 776 of the family's 1533-position model. The record is from RNAcentral.